UUCCUUUUUUCCUUUUAAAAAAAAAACUCUCUCACUCAUUAGGCGCCGCUCGACGGUUCAUCGCCUUCUUCCAAGGCUCUCCGAACCACCCUAGUCUCCGAUGACAACGGAGAAGGAGCAACAAUUCCGGUUGAGAGGUACGCUUUCCUUCCCUUUUGCUUGUUUAUUUCAUUAGUAAACGCAUAACAAAAGGAAAAUAAAAAAACAUGAACUGCGAAAAAAAGGGAGAGGGUGAACCCAGGAAUCACGUUUUUGGUGUUUUUGUAUUCUGAUUGCAGAAAAAACGUGAAGGUUACAACAUAUUCAUCCCUUUUAUAGUUUCUACUUUACAGAAAAAUAAAAAUAAAAAUCGCCCUUGUUCUGCCUUUUUUAUUUUUUCUCUCUCUGUUCCUCUUUUUGUAUUGUUUGUGUCUGCUUUCUGCUGGUUUGUGCAUCUCCUGCAGGUAUGGAGAGCAGGUGUGCGGACGUGGAGGUACGGGGCGAUGGUACAUGUGCAAGGGAGCGAUGCUUGGCACGCGCGGGGAAACGAUGGGGUAUCUGUUGCGGUGCUAAGGGCCCUAGCCGCUAGGGUUUGCCAUUGUGUGUUAGGACAUUGGGCCUUUUGGGCUGAAUCAGUUUGCUGGGUUUAGGUUUAGGGCUUAAUUUGGGCCUACUGUUGGAUUUUGGGCUUGUAUUGUAAUUUUGGACUGUGGACAUUUUAAUUAUAUAUUGGUUUUUUAAUAUCUGUAUCGGGCCCGGGCAAAUUGGGCCUAUUACAGCUGCCCCUCUUUGCUCAUUGUCGUGUAAUGAGAAUAGAGCAAAGACUAAAGAGGACCAAUUUAUCCUGAUCGUACUUGGACCUUGGUGCUCCUCUUCAAGUAGCCUCAUUCCAUCUUGCUGCAUCUUCAGAGGUAUAGGAAAUAGUGCUUCGAUCCACUCCACUACAAUGUUAGGGAGAUAGGAUUUGUAACUCGUAGCUUUUUAAUCCGCUCCACUACAACUUCAGGGAGAUAGGAUUAUUGAAUUCAAUCUGCUCCACUGCAACCUCAGAGAGAUAAGAUUUGCUUCUUCAAUCUGCUUCACUGUGACUUUAGGGGGAUAAGACUCAUUUUUUCAGUCUACUCCGCUGCAACCUCAGGGAGAAAAGACCUGAUGCGAUCCACUCUACUGCAACUUCAGAGAGAUAAGAUCUAUUACUUUAAUCCGCUCCACUACAACUUCAGGGAGAUAGUAUUAUCGGCUUCAAUCUGCUUCACUGCCAAUGCAAGAAGGCAAGACGUGCUAUCUUCAACCAGCUCCACUGCACUCGAUGGAGGCAAGACUUUGUUUUCGAUCUUCUUCGUUGUUAACGCAGGAAGGCAAGAUCUACUAUCUUCAUUAAUCUAUUUUCUGGGGAACAUGAC
This 1382-nucleotide long non-coding RNA is filed under the name Gossypium raimondii (Peruvian cotton). Its description in RNAcentral is "long non-coding RNA (GRAI_LNC004797)". The record is from RNAcentral. Lineage: Eukaryota; Viridiplantae; Streptophyta; Magnoliopsida; Malvales; Malvaceae.